RNAcentral lists this ribosomal RNA (451 nucleotides) under uncultured bacterium. Its description in RNAcentral is "partial 16S ribosomal RNA". It matches the Rfam family "Bacterial small subunit ribosomal RNA", at positions 28 to 507 of the family's 1533-position model. The record is from RNAcentral.
AGCGAACGCUGGCGGCAUGCCUAACACAUGCAAGUCGCACGGGGGGGCUUCGGCCUCCCAGUGGCGGACGGGUGAGGAACGCGUAGGGACCUGUCGAGGGGUGGGGGAUAACCGCGGGAAACUGCGGCUAAUACCGCAUGACGCCGCGGCGUGACAGCCGGGGCCAAAGGCGAAAGCCGCCCGCCGAGGGGCCUGCGUCCGAUUAGCUGGUUGGCGGGGUAGCGGCCCACCAAGGCGUCGAUCGGUAGCUGGUCUGAGAGGGUGAUCAGCCACACCGGGACUGAGACACGGCCCGGACUCCUACGGGAGGCAGCAGUGGGGAAUAUUGGACAAUGGGCGCAAGCCUGAUCCAGCAAUGCCGCGUGAGUGAAGAAGGUCUUCGGAUUGUAAAGCCCUUUCGGCGGGGACGAUGGUGACGGUACCCGCAGAAGAAGCCCCGGCUAACUUCGUG